This is a long non-coding RNA of Zingiber officinale, 490 nucleotides long. RefSeq lists it as uncharacterized. NCBI's taxonomy places the organism in Eukaryota, Viridiplantae, Streptophyta, Magnoliopsida, Zingiberales, Zingiberaceae. The record is from RefSeq and is a predicted model, not a curated record. The transcript has 4 exons.
UGGGGGCUUGAUUCGCGUCAUUCCCAGCCGAACGAUCCCUUCGUUCCUCCUUCUCGAGCGGUUCACAGAGCCAUCAGUGUCUCCUUUCAAUCGGGAUCGGAUCAUGCGACAAACUUAGGAGGCGACCAAACAAGGGGAAUGCAUCAGAACAACUAGGGGCAUGCAUCGGAACAACUCACUGUUGGUUUCCGAUCAGAUCCUGGUCCUCCUCAUUCUUGCGGCUGAUUGAGGUCUCGAUUGAAGUUGUUGGGGAUCUUUUGAGGACUCUGAUUCGAGACGAGCGUCUCAAUGUCGGAUUAAUUGGAUACGAUCUUCUUUUUGAUGCGGGUUGAAGCUGUUAGGAGGUUCCAGUCGCUAGUUACCACCCUGAGUCGCGACGGUUUUCUACCUUUGGACUUGUGGUUUCCUUGUUAUAUUUUUAUAUAUUUGUGAUGUAUAACUGUACUCAUGGAUUUUUAUCGAGUUUUGGUCUAUUGCCUUUGUUUUCCGC